This 164-nucleotide ribosomal RNA is filed under the name uncultured bacterium. RNAcentral describes it as "partial 16S rRNA". It matches the Rfam family "Bacterial small subunit ribosomal RNA", at positions 355 to 511 of the family's 1533-position model. The record is from RNAcentral.
UAGGGAAUCUUCGGCAAUGGGGGCAACCCUGACCGAGCAACGCCGCGUGAGUGAAGAAGGUUUUCGGAUCGUAAAGCUCUGUUGUAAGAGAAGAACGUGUGUGAGAGUNAAAGUUCACACAGUGACGGUAACUUACCAGAAAGGGACGGCUAACUACGUGCCAG